AUGAACCCUGAAAUUCAAAAAUCGCAAGGUUUAGUUUUUUUCGAUAUUUUCAAUUGUUCGAAAAACCUACUUUUUCGAACUCGUCCUAGACGGUUAGUCCGAUUUUCACGAAAAUUGGCUCAGAUCAUCUGCAGACGAUGCCGGCAAAAAGUUAUGGAAUUCAAGUUGAUUCGUCCAACCGUUCUCGAAUACCACGCGAAAAAAUUCUACGAAAAGCACUCAAAAAUGCUUGUGAGGCUAUAACUCUGCAACGGUUUGGCGUAUUGAGACAAAACUUGGUGUGUGUUAUAACAAGCAUGACCUGAGACUACCUGCAGUGUUUCGACGCAGCGCCACCUAGUGGUCAGGAGAUAUGAAAAAUGCAUAUUUUUGCUUAUCACUUCUGAAUGGUUUGGUCAAAAAUAACAAAACUGGUCUCUUUAGAUUGGGUGCGUCAUGCCGAGUCGAAUGAUAUCCAAUUUUCACGUGUCGGCCAUUUUAGGUGUCGGCCAUUUUGAAUUAUGUUUCAAAAUGCUGUAUUUUUUGAACGCAUUAUCGUAUCGCUACGAAAAUAAUGACAAAAAUGUUUGGCUCCAUGCCCUGAAGCUAGUCAAAAAGUUUGGUGGCAGCGCCACCUUGUGGUCAAAAGUUAUAAUGAAAUAUCAUAAAAAUGCUAAUAACUUUUGAAUAAAUUUGACUAUUGAAAUGAAAAUGGUCUCCAUAUAUUCUUUUGGUCAUUCCGAGAACAUCUAUACCAAUUAUGCCAAAAUUGGCCAUACUUCCUGUCCGCCAUUUUGUUUAAAGUUGAAAACCUACUUUUUCGAACUCCUCCUAGACCGUUAGUCCGAUUUUCACCAAAUUUGGUUCGGAUCAUCUUCUGACCAACCUGAUAAAAAGUUAUGGAAUUCGUGUUGAUAUACGAAACGGUUUUCGUUUAGCGCAUCAACGAAUUUGUUCGUAAGAUGCCAAAACACAUCUGAGGCUGUAUCUCGGCAAAGCUUUGACAUAUUUGCACGAAACUUUGUAUGUGCCAUUGUCACCUCACCCUGACCACGCCACAUUAAUUUGGUAACAGCGCCACCUAUUGGUCAAGAGUAAUAAACCAUUCAUUAACCAUUAAUAAUUACAUUUAUAAAAAUGCUAAUUACUUUUUAUUGCAUUAGCCUAUUGCAAUGAAACUGGUCUCAAAAUAUUCCUUGGCUUAGGCCGACAACAUAGAUACCAAAUAUGCCAGAGUACGCUGAACUUCCUGUCCGCCAUUUUGAUUUAUGUUGAAAACCUACUUUUUCAAACUCCUCAUCAACCGUUGGUCCGAUUUUCACCAAAAUUGAAUCACAUUAUCUUCAGACUGUGCUGACAAAAUGUUAUGGAUUUUGUAUCGAUAGACAAAACCGUUUUCGCAUACCACAGUGACGAAUUUCAGGCAUGAUGCCAAAAUGACACUUCAGCCUGUAUAUCUGCAAUGCUUUGGCAUACUGACACCAAACUUUGUGUGUGCCAUUGUCACCUCACACAGAACACAACAAAAUGAUUUGAUUACAGCGCCACCUGUUGGUCAAAAGUUAUAAGCCAUUUAAUCAUAAUACUAGUGCUUGUAUUUGUUUUUUCCCGCUAUUUCAAUUACAAUCAUCCUAAAAUUGCUGUAAUUGUGAAAAUCUCUGCAAAGCUUUGACAUAUUUACACCAAACUUUGUAUGUGCCAUUGCCACAUCACACUGACCACGCCACAUAAAUUUGGUAACAGAGCCACUUAUUGGUCUGGAGUAGUAAACCAUUCAUUAAUUCUAAACUAUGUAAUUUUCAAAAAUGCUAAUUACUUUGAUUGCAUUGACCUAUUGUAAUAAAACUGGUUCUCAAAAUAUUCUUUGGGUCAUGCCGACAACAUACAUAUCAAUUAUGUCAUAAUAAGCCGAACUUCCUGUCGGCCAUUUUGAUUUAUGUUGAAAACCUACUUUUUUGCACUCCUCAUCAACCGUUUGUCCGAUUUUCACCAAAAUCUAAUCAAAUCAUCUUCAGACGUUGCUGAAAAAAAGUUAUGGAUUUCGUGUCGAUAGACAAAACUGUUUUCGUACAGCUCUGCUACAAACUUUAGGCACGGUGCCAAAAUGACUCCAAGGCUAUAUCUCUUCAAAGUUUUGACAUAAUGACAACAAACUUAGUGUGUGCCAUUGUGUCAUAUUACUAGUGGUUGUAUUUAUUACUUUUCAGCCAUUUCAAUUACAAUCAUCCUAAAAUUGCUUUUAUUACUCAUUGUUGCACUUGGUGUGAUGCUCCAUUCCAUGCUUAGCUCCUCAAUUUGCCGCUGGAGUGCUUGGCCCCGUAAUUGCUGCUUGCAGCUAUAUUUAUUCUUCUUCUUCUUCUUCUUCUUCUUCCUCCGCAAGUCUAUGGCAGCCCAUAGAACCGAUUGCGGGAUAGUUGUAUAAUUUGGCACACUGAUAGAGGACAGUCCCAGCAUUAACUAUAGCAAAUUUGAAGUCUCUAUCUUCUACUCUCUAGCGCCACCACUUGUCCAAAAUUUCAAUAUUUUUAUGCUAAUAACUUUUGAACCGUAAGCCACAAAAUGAAAAUUCUUUUUUCCUCUGAAUCCUUGGCUCAUGCCAAGUCGAAUGAUCCCCGAAAUUCAAAAAUCGCAAGGUUUAGUUUUUUCGCUAUUUUCAAUUGUUCGAAAAACCUACUUUUUCGAACUCAUCCUAGACGGUUAGUCCGAUUUUCACGAAAAUUGGCUCAGAUCAUCUGCAGACGAUGCCGGCAAAAAAAGUUAUGGAAUUCAAGUUGAUUCGUCCAACCGUUCUCGAAUACCACGCGAAAAAAUUCUACGAAAAGCACUCAAAAAUGCUUGUGAGGCUAUAACUCUGCAACGGUUUGGCGUAUUGAGACAAAACUUGGUGUGUGUUAUAACAAGCAUGACCUGAGACUACCUGCAGUGUUUCGACGCAGCGCCACCUAGUGGUCAGGAGAUAUGAAAAAUGCAUAUUUUUGCUUAUCACUUCUGAAUGGUUUGGUCAAAAAUAACAAAACUGGUCUCUUUAGAUUGGGUGCGUCAUGGCGAGUCGAAUGAUAUCCAAUUUUCACGUGUCGGCCAUUUUAGGUGUCGGCCAUUUUGAAUUAUGUUUCAAAAUGCUGUAUUUUUUGAACGCAUUAUCGUAUCGCUACGAAAAUAAUGACAAAAAUGUUUGGCUCCAUGCCCUGAAGCUAGUCAAAAAGUUUGGUGGCAGCGCCACCUUGUGGUCAAAAGUUAUAAUGAAAUAUCAUAAAAAUGCUAAUAACUUUUGAAAAAAUUAGACUAUUAAAAUGAAAAGUGUCUCGCUAUAUUCUUUCGGUCCUGCCGAGAACAUCGAUACCAAUUAUGCCAAAAUUAGCCAUACUU
This is a long non-coding RNA of Cyprinus carpio carpio, 3345 nucleotides long. The record is from Ensembl. Lineage: Eukaryota; Metazoa; Chordata; Actinopteri; Cypriniformes; Cyprinidae.